AGAGAGGUAGUUCAGUGGUACAGCAUCUUUUUUUACACACAGAAGGUCCCAGGCUCAAUCCCUGGUCUCUCCA
Podarcis lilfordi (Lilford's wall lizard) is the source of this 73-nucleotide non-coding RNA. NCBI's taxonomy places the organism in Eukaryota, Metazoa, Chordata, Lepidosauria, Squamata, Lacertidae. The record is from the annotation of a GenBank genome assembly.